AUACUUACCUGGCAGGAGAGAUGCCAUGAUCACAAAGGUAGUUUUCCCAGGAUGAGGCUCAUCCGUCGUACUCUUGGUGUGCUGACUAAUGUGAUUUCCUCUAAUUUAUGAUAAUGAGGAACUGUGUUUAUACUUUCCCUUG
Molecule: small nuclear RNA, 142 nt
Filed under: Otolemur garnettii (small-eared galago)
Lineage: Eukaryota; Metazoa; Chordata; Mammalia; Primates; Galagidae
Description: U1 spliceosomal RNA (ENSOGAG00000023726.1)
Rfam family: U1 spliceosomal RNA
About the family: U1 is a small nuclear RNA (snRNA) component of the spliceosome (involved in pre-mRNA splicing). Its 5' end forms complementary base pairs with the 5' splice junction, thus defining the 5' donor site of an intron.
Source: RNAcentral